Daphnia magna is the source of this 535-nucleotide long non-coding RNA. RefSeq lists it as uncharacterized. The record is from RefSeq and is a predicted model, not a curated record. The transcript has 4 exons. NCBI's taxonomy places the organism in Eukaryota, Metazoa, Arthropoda, Branchiopoda, Diplostraca, Daphniidae.
UGUACAUCUGGCAACGUCCUUGGGACAAAUAUUCGUCUGAAUUGCUGCCAUCGCCAUUUCCAUCGCCAUCGCUAGGGUCACACGUCAUCUUAUCUUUUGUCCCAACUUUAAUAUCUUAAGUGUUUCAACGAGUGGGACAGUUGAACAUGGAGAGGUGUCAGUUUGGGACUUGAUUUGUCACACAUUGGUCGAAAUGGAAAAAGAGCAUGGUUUUGGUAAUGGAUCAAAAAAGUUAUUCCCACACUCAUCUUUAAGAUCUUGGAAUGCUCACUGUUGUCACGAAAUAUUAUCAUUUGUUUGGCCCCGAAUUAUCUACGUCAUUUCUACUCGAAUAGAACAUGGAGCCGAUUACCAGAUCUUACAUCGAAAUGUUUGAGGAGAUACAUGGAUUAGAGGCAUGUUGCAGGGAUGUUCCAGAAAGCAGGUUUCGAAGAACAAAAAUCUGAUUUAAAGGCUCGUCAACACAACGUAUAUUGUUUAACUUUGUUUUCUUGACUUGAUGGUGAAAUUGAAUUAAAUCGAAAGUUGAAAGUUA